CCAUCAUUGAGUUGGGCACUCUAAAGAGACUGCCGGUGUCAAACCGGAGGAAGGUGGGGAUGACGUCAAAUCAUCAUGCCCUUUAUGUCCUGGGCUACACACGUGCUACAAUGGUCGGUACAACGAGAAGCAAGUCAGCGAUGGCAAGCAAAUCUCUAAAAGCCGAUCCCAGUUCGGAUUGCAGGCUGCAACUCGCCUGCAUGAAGUCGGAGUUGCUAGUAAUCGCGGAUCAGAAUGCCGCGGUGAAUGCCGUUCCCGGGUCUU
Molecule: ribosomal RNA, 264 nt
Filed under: uncultured Eubacteriales bacterium
Lineage: Bacteria; Bacillati; Bacillota; Clostridia; Eubacteriales
Description: uncultured Clostridiales bacterium partial 16S ribosomal RNA
Rfam family: Bacterial small subunit ribosomal RNA
Source: RNAcentral